This 75-nucleotide transfer RNA is filed under the name Candidatus Dadabacteria bacterium RIFCSPHIGHO2_12_FULL_53_21. RNAcentral's name for it is "tRNA-Thr". It matches the Rfam family "tRNA". Rfam says of the family: Transfer RNA (tRNA) molecules are approximately 80 nucleotides in length. Lineage: Bacteria; Pseudomonadati; Thermodesulfobacteriota; Candidatus Dadabacteria. The record is from RNAcentral. RNAcentral also lists the same sequence under 5 other names.
GCUGGCGUAGCUCAGUGGUAGAGCAGCUGAUUUGUAAUCAGCAGGCCGGGGGUUCAAAUCCCUUCGCCAGCUCCA